AUACGUCAGUGGCAGACGGGUGAGUAACACGUGGGAACGUACCUUUUGGUUCGGAACAACACAGGGAAACUUGUGCUAAUACCGGAUAAGCCCUUACGGGGAAAGAUUUAUCGCCGAAAGAUCGGCCCGCGUCUGAUUAGCUAGUUGGUAGGGUAACGGCCUACCAAGGCGACGAUCAGUAGCUGGUCUGAGAGGAUGAUCAGCCACAUUGGGACUGAGACACGGCCCAAACUCCUACGGGAGGCAGCAGUGGGGAAUAUUGGACAAUGGGGGCAACCCUGAUCCAGCCAUGCCGCGUGAGUGAUGAAGGCCCUAGGGUUGUAAAGCUCUUUUGUGCGGGAAGAUAAUGACGGUACCGCAAGAAUAAGCCCCG
RNAcentral lists this ribosomal RNA (373 nucleotides) under alpha proteobacterium BAL121. Its description in RNAcentral is "bacterial SSU rRNA". It matches the Rfam family "Bacterial small subunit ribosomal RNA", at positions 87 to 495 of the family's 1533-position model. Lineage: Bacteria; Pseudomonadati; Pseudomonadota; Alphaproteobacteria. The record is from RNAcentral.